Molecule: ribosomal RNA, 398 nt
Filed under: uncultured bacterium
Lineage: Bacteria
Description: bacterial SSU rRNA
Rfam family: Bacterial small subunit ribosomal RNA
Source: RNAcentral
UAACCCCGAAGAACCUUACCAAGGCUUGACAUACACCGGAAACGGCCAGAGAUGGUCGCCCCCCUUGUGGUCGGUGUACAGGUGGUGCAUGGUUGUCGUCAGCUCGUGUCGUGAGAUGUUGGGUUAAGUCCCGCAACGAGUGCAACCCUCGUUCUAUGUUGCCAGCGCGUUAUGGCGGGGACUCAUAGGAGACUGCCGGGGUCAACUCGGAGGAAGGUGGGGAUGACGUCAAAUCAUCAUGCCCCUUAUGUCUUGGGCUUCACGCAUGCUACAAUGGCCGGUACAAAGGGCUGCGAUACCGUAAGGUGGAGCGAAUCCCAAAAAGCCGGUCUCAGUUCGGAUUGAGGUCUGCAACUCGACCUCAUGAAGUCGGAGUCGCUAGUAAUCGCAGAUCAGCA